GAUGAAGAACGUAGCGAAAUGCGAUAAGUAAUGUGAAUUGCAGAAUUCAGUGAAUCAUCGAAUCUUUGAACGCACCUUGCGCUCUUUGGUAUUCCGAAGAGCAUGCCUGUUUGAGUGUCAUGAAAAUAUCAACCUUGACUUGGGUUUUGUGCUCUAGUCUCGGCUUGGAAUUGGGUGCUUGCCGCUUUUACGAGCGGCUCACCUUAAAUGUAUUAGCUGGAUCUGUCUUUGAGACUUGGUUUGACUUGGCGUAAUAAGUAUUUCGCUAAGGACAUUCUUCGGAGUGGCCUCGUUUCUAGGACGCUUGUCCGCUUUCCAAUACAAGUUCCACCUCGUGGACAUGACUUUUUAUUAUCUGGCCUCAAAGCAGGUAGGACUACCCGCUGAACUUAAGCAUAUCAAUAAGCGGAGGA
Molecule: unclassified non-coding RNA, 413 nt
Filed under: soil metagenome
Description: partial contains 5.8S ribosomal RNA, internal transcribed spacer 2, and large subunit ribosomal RNA
Rfam family: 5.8S ribosomal RNA (bases 1-120)
Source: RNAcentral